Molecule: ribosomal RNA, 244 nt
Filed under: uncultured bacterium
Lineage: Bacteria
Description: partial 16S ribosomal RNA
Rfam family: Bacterial small subunit ribosomal RNA
Source: RNAcentral
UGGCUAACUCCGUGCCAGCAGCCGCGGUAAUACGGAGGGGGCUAGCGUUAUUCGGAAUUAUUGGGCGUAAAGGGCGCGUAGGCUGGUUAAUAAGUUAAAAGUGAAAUCCCAAGGCUUAACCUUGGAAUUGCUUUUAAAACUAUUAAUCUAGAGAUUGAAAGAGGAUAGAGGAAUUCCUAAUGUAGAGGUAAAAUUCGUAAAUAUUAGGAGGAACACCAGUGGCGAAGGCGUCUAUCUAGUUCAA